This is a non-coding RNA of Rattus norvegicus (Norway rat), 69 nucleotides long. The record is from Rfam. Lineage: Eukaryota; Metazoa; Chordata; Mammalia; Rodentia; Muridae.
GGGGAUUUAGCUCAGCGGUAGAGCACUUGCCUAGCAAGCACAAGGCCCUGGGUUCGGUCCCCAGCUCCA